GAAGAACGUAGCGAAAUGCGAUAAGUAAUGUGAAUUGCAGAAUUCAGUGAAUCAUCGAAUCUUUGAACGCACAUUGCGCCCGUCAGUAUUCUGGCGGGCAUGCCUGUUCGAGCGUCAUUACGCCCCUCAAGUCCCCUGUGGACUUGGUGUUGGGGAUCGGCGAGGCUGGUUUUCCAGCACAGCCGUCCCUUAAAUUAAUUGGCGGUCUCGCCGUGGCCCUCCUCUGCGCAGUAGUAAAACACUCGCAACAGGAGCCCGGCGCGGUCCACUGCCGUAAAACCCCCCAACUUUUUAUAGUUGACCUCGAAUCAGGUAGGACUACCCGCUGAACUUAAGCAUAUCAAUAAGCGGAGGA
RNAcentral lists this unclassified non-coding RNA (355 nucleotides) under soil metagenome. RNAcentral describes it as "partial contains 5.8S ribosomal RNA, internal transcribed spacer 2, and large subunit ribosomal RNA". The stretch from base 1 to 117 matches the Rfam family "5.8S ribosomal RNA", at positions 38 to 154 of the family's 154-position model. The record is from RNAcentral.